This 898-nucleotide long non-coding RNA is filed under the name Olea europaea subsp. europaea. Lineage: Eukaryota; Viridiplantae; Streptophyta; Magnoliopsida; Lamiales; Oleaceae. The record is from RNAcentral.
GAAAGAUCAAAACAGGGAUUUACGUGGUUCGACUAUAUACCUACGUCCACGAGAGCGAAGUGGGAAUAAUUUUAUUCAGUAUGAAUAAUACGGUUACAACAUUGUUAUUUAUACUAACUCUACCACAAGCUCAUACAAGAUUUUAAGGUCCGUACAAGAAAAUACCCAUGUACCGUACCACGGGGGCGUUGCUUCUGUACUCCCAACCCAUUCAACGUCUCUGGCAACUAGACAAUGAAUUAAACCCCCCAAGGCCAAUGCUAUCACUCCGCUCCAUUCCGUUUGAUGCACUACACUCCGCUUCGGUAUCGGCCUAUUUGAUCCAGUAAACCUGUGUUUCACUCUAAAUGAGCCACAUACACAACAAGCAAAUCAAGAUUGGACCCUCCAUCAACUUGAUGUUAAGAAUGCAUUUUUUAAUGGUGAUCUGGAAGAAGAGGUGUAUAUGGACGUUCCUUUGGACCUAGAAACAAAAGGAAACACCAACAAAGUCUACAAACUUAUAAAAUCCCUUUAUGGUCUCAAACAGUCUCCUUGAGCCCGGUUCGAUUGCUUCACGAAGGCAGUUAAAAGGUAUGGAUACACUCAAUGUUAAUCAGAUCAUACUUUAUUCGUUAAACACUUUCUUGGGUGGAAAUUGCAAUAAUUAUUGUGUAUGUGGAUGAUAUCAUUCUAAUUGGAGACCAUGAGGAUGAAUUGUGUAGACUAAAAAAUCUGUUGGCCAAAGAAUUUGAGAUCAAAGAUUUAGGGAAUCUCAAGUACUUCCUUGGAAUGGAAAUUGCUCAGUUAAAGAAAGGCAUAGCCAUUUCUCAAAGAAAGUAUGUGAUGUAGAAUGAUUAACUCAAUAAAGAUAACAAGAAGAGAUAUAGGAGAAGGAAGAAGAAGAAGAAGAAGAAAU